UAGGAGUCAUCCACGCGAGCCCGUGAAUCACGAUCAAAAGUCCUGGUCUAGAAGAUUAGCACAAUAUGCGAGCACUGCGCUGAUCCUUCUUCGAUGGUCAAUCAAAUACCUCCUACUUCUUGAUUAAGACUCUUCCAAAGAUGAGAAGUAGGAGAAGGUGUUUUAGAUCUAAGACACUCUCAAGAAACUCAAGAUGGAGGAAGGGAAGAGGUGAACAUAGCAACCCUAAA
Molecule: long non-coding RNA, 230 nt
Filed under: Elaeis guineensis (African oil palm)
Lineage: Eukaryota; Viridiplantae; Streptophyta; Magnoliopsida; Arecales; Arecaceae
Description: long non-coding RNA (EGUI_LNC081582)
Source: RNAcentral